CCCAGACUCCUACGGGAGGCAGCAGUGGGGGAUAUUGCACAAUGGGGGGAACCCUGAUGCAGCGACGCCGCGUGGGUGAAGAAGCGCCUCGGCGCGUAAAGCCCUGUCAGCAGGGAAGAAAAUGACGGUACCUGAAGAAGAAGCCCCGGCUAACUACGUGCCAGCAGCCGCGGUAAUACGUAGGGGGCAAGCGUUAUCCGGAUUUACUGGGUGUAAAGGGGGCGCAGACGGCGAUGCAAGCCAGGAGUGAAAGCCCGGGGCCCAACCCCGGGACUGCUCUUGGAACUGCGCGGCUGGAGUGCAGGAGGGGCAGGCGGAAUUCCUUUUUUUUUUUUUUUUUUUUUGGAUAUCAGGAGGAACACCGGCGGCGAAGGCGGCCUGCUGGACCGUGACUGACGUUGAGGCUCGAGAGCGCGGGGAGCAAACAGGAUUAGAUACCCCAGUAAC
RNAcentral lists this ribosomal RNA (447 nucleotides) under uncultured bacterium. Its description in RNAcentral is "partial 16S ribosomal RNA". It matches the Rfam family "Bacterial small subunit ribosomal RNA", at positions 330 to 794 of the family's 1533-position model. The record is from RNAcentral.